This 482-nucleotide ribosomal RNA is filed under the name uncultured bacterium. Its description in RNAcentral is "partial 16S ribosomal RNA". It matches the Rfam family "Bacterial small subunit ribosomal RNA", at positions 30 to 507 of the family's 1533-position model. The record is from RNAcentral.
AUUGAACGCUGGCGGCAUGCUUUACACAUGCAAGUCGAACGGUAACAGCACUUCGGUGGCUGACGAGUGGCGGACGGGUGAGUAAUACAUCGGAACGUGCCUAGUAGUGGGGGAUAACUACUCGAAAGUGUAGCUAAUACCGCAUGAGAGCUAAGGAUGAAAGCAGGGGACCUUCGUGCCUUGCGCUACUAUUGCGGCUGAUGGCAGAUUAGGUAGUUGGUGGGAUAAAAGCUUACCAAGGCGACGAUCUGUAGCUGGUCUGAGAGGACGACCAGCCACACUGGGACUGAGACACGGCCCAGACUCCUACGGGAGGCAGCAGUGGGGAAUUUUGGACAAUGGGCGAAAGCCUGAUCCAGCAAUGCCGCGUGCAGGAUGAAGGUCUUCGGGUUGUAAACUGCUUUUGUAAGGAACGAAAAGCCGUCUACUAAUACAGGAGGGUCAUGACGGUACCGUAAGAAUAAGCACCGGCUAACUACGUG